RNAcentral lists this long non-coding RNA (673 nucleotides) under Cricetulus griseus (Chinese hamster). RNAcentral describes it as "lncRNA (ENSCGRG00015034855.1)". The record is from RNAcentral. Lineage: Eukaryota; Metazoa; Chordata; Mammalia; Rodentia; Cricetidae.
UGAGAAACAACUGCUCCUGGCUCACCAAUUAUGUCAGAAAGGAGGAUGAGCAUUGAAGAAACUCGUUAUGGAGUUUGCUUUCAACAUGGCAAGAUUAGCCAUUUGGGCAAGAAACUGCUCUUGCCUGGACUGUUUGUUGCUGUAUAAACUGGACAUGCAGGACCCACAAGAAAGUGACUGCUGAACUUACAAAACAAGACAGUACUGAAGGGUUCCUGUUGAAAUGGAGAAGUGUGCCAGACACACUGUGGCCUAUGGGCUGAAGAUGGAUGCCCCAACGUUACAGAGGAACUUUGGGUGACUGUCCAGAUUCCACUGAGGAGAAAAAUGGAGAAAGACUAUGGAGAAAAGAGUGGAGUCAAGAGAAAGAAGCAAGCUUUACUAAAGAGAAAGUCUAUGAGAUGGCUAGGAAGCGGUCUCCUGCACCAAUCCGUUCAAGGGUACCACCUACCUUCUCUUCUCAAUGUGGCUGGAUUUAUGUUGAGGUCUUUGAUCCAUUUGGACUUGUUUUUUGCAUGGUGAUAGAUAUGGAUCUGUCUGCAGUCUUCUACAUGCCAGCAUCCUAGACACACUGGGGAGGAUCUAGGCAUUGCUCCAAAUGAUAUGACAGACUUUGAAGAUAUCCCAUGGAAGGCCUCACCCUCCCAGGAGAGCAGAAACGGGUUGGGACAGG